GCGGGCUCUCGCCGCAGAGGAGGAUUGACCUGGACUGGGACCGGAAGACUGCGGCGGAGAUGGGGUUCCCGGACGGCCACUGGAAGCUCAACAUCUCGGACUGGAGGCAGAAUGUGUGAAGAUGUGGGAGAAGAAGGAUAGAUCGCGAAAAACACAAACUCUGUUGCUGUUAGCUGACAUCAGUUGGAGUUCGUUUUGUUUGAGUUCGUUGGUGCAUAGAAUACUUUGUAUCUUUUGAAAGAUUCAUCUUUGAAGGGUCGGGGCUUGGGACGGUUUCCAUUUUGCAUUGGGCUGCACGUAAAGCCUCACAUUGAUGCAGGAAAUGACAGGAGAAAGUUCAGAAUAAACAGUUUCAUCAAUUCUGACAAUUUUAGGAAGAUGAGAAUGGGUCUCAUACCACGCUAGCUCUUUUUGAUAGAUCAAGGAUGUUGAUUCAUUAGCCCUUUCUCUGUUACUCCCUUGACUCAUAGUUCAGUUAUUUUACCUGGUCUCAAGCUAUUAGUAGGGCUGUUAAACGAGCUUCCUGCCCCGGCCAGCUCGUGUUCGGCUCGAAAUUUGGCUCGAAGUUAUGCCUGCUAGACUAGCAAAAGAGCUGAGCUAGAACUAGGCUUAGCUCAUUUGACG
Molecule: long non-coding RNA, 624 nt
Filed under: Phoenix dactylifera (date palm)
Lineage: Eukaryota; Viridiplantae; Streptophyta; Magnoliopsida; Arecales; Arecaceae
Description: long non-coding RNA (PDAC_LNC018863)
Source: RNAcentral